Molecule: long non-coding RNA, 432 nt
Organism: Prosopis cineraria
Lineage: Eukaryota; Viridiplantae; Streptophyta; Magnoliopsida; Fabales; Fabaceae
Exons: 3
Source: RefSeq, a predicted model, not a curated record
GUUGAAGCAAGAAGAGGUUGGGGCGACGGAAAACCAAAGGAAGUCGGCCAAGCCAUACGAAUUAUGCCUCCCUUCUUCUCCAAAAUCUCCGAGGAUCGAGGAUCAAGAGGCAAAGUAAGAACGAGCACCCUGACUGAUGCCAUGAUUGUUGUCCAAUGUGUUUGAACCUAGAAAAGAAACAAUAAAAAGAGGAGGAUGAAGAAGAGGAUGACCAAAAGGCUGAAAAAGAGGAGGAUGACCAAAGAGCAUGGCUUUGUUGGAACAGGACGAACCAGAGACAAAGAACACAAAGAACUUAGCUUUAGCAAGCACGUAAGAUAUUGAUGAAGAAUAACUUCCUCCGAUCGACAUCUUCAAGUGUUUGUUUAGUCUUGUUAUAUAGAUAUGAUGUCAUUUGACGUUUUCCUUGUAUAGCCGCAAUAUGAAGAGGAG